GCCCCCCCUGUCCUGGGCUGUCCCAGGGAUCUGCAACCCCCAUCCAGGAGUGAUCCAUUGGCAGGGAACACCAGGACCAGCUCUGGGAUGGAGGGUGUCACUGCCUGGAGUCUGUACAUCCCAGUGCAACUGGGGAGUCUGGGAUCCAGGACAGCUGCUGGGUGGAGGGAGUGCCUGAUCCUGGCUUUGGGAGGCUCCAAGCUGUCCCUGUGGAGAUCCAGGCGUUUUUAUCAGCAGAGGAAAAGGUAAAAACACGAAUCCCAAAUGCCGGACGCAGCACCCGGAGCAGCCUCGUUUGCCAGGCUUGGCUCCACGGAUGCUCAGCUUGGCUUGUGCCGUUCACCUGUCCCACAAAUUACCUGGAAAAGCUCCCACCAAACAACAGCCAGGAGCAGGGCGAGGGAGCUGCAGGAAUCGGCAAGGGGCAGCCAUGGCUCAUCCCACACGGAAUUCAGAGUGGAAACACUGUAUUGACAGACUUUACAAAAGUUGUUACAAAACACGGUCACGAACCAGCAGCUGACGAUACACAGCGAAGAGACACCACGUACAGGCACCUCGGAACAACACCAACAGCUCCAGAAGUCAACCAAUAUUUACACAAAUGGCUGGAAAACUCUGGGCGUUUAUCGCAUAACAUGGAAGUGUUUUAGAGCAACUGUGAAAUAUAGUGUCACACCUUUC
Molecule: long non-coding RNA, 684 nt
Organism: Pipra filicauda (Wire-tailed manakin)
Lineage: Eukaryota; Metazoa; Chordata; Aves; Passeriformes; Pipridae
Exons: 2
Source: RefSeq, a predicted model, not a curated record